Thelephora ganbajun is the source of this 118-nucleotide non-coding RNA. Lineage: Eukaryota; Fungi; Basidiomycota; Agaricomycetes; Thelephorales; Thelephoraceae. The record is from the annotation of a GenBank genome assembly.
GGCGCUAUGGCUGAGUGGUUAAAGCGACAGACUAGAAUUCCAGCGAUUUGGUUGGCCGCCUUGACGGGAUGUCAUCUGUUCCGGUUUCCGGGCGCAGGUUCGAUCCCUGCUGGCGUCG